This 445-nucleotide ribosomal RNA is filed under the name uncultured bacterium. Its description in RNAcentral is "bacterial SSU rRNA". It matches the Rfam family "Bacterial small subunit ribosomal RNA", at positions 330 to 792 of the family's 1533-position model. The record is from RNAcentral.
UCCAGACUCCUACGGGAGGCAGCAGUGGGGAAUAUUGCACAAUGGGGGAAACCCUGAUGCAGCGACGCCGCGUGAGUGAAGAAGUAUUUCGGUAUGUAAAGCUCUAUCAGCAGGGAAGAAAAUGACGGUACCUGACUAAGAAGCCCCGGCUAACUACGUGCCAGCAGCCGCGGUAAUACGUAGGGGGCAAGCGUUAUCCGGAUUUACUGGGUGUAAAGGGAGCGUAGACGGUAGAGCAAGUCUGAAGUGAAAGCCCGCGGCUCAACUGCGGGACUGCUUUGGAAACUGUUCAACUGGAGUGCUGGAGAGGUAAGCGGAAUUCCUAGUGUAGCGGUGAAAUGCGUAGAUAUUAGGAGGAACACCAGUGGCGAAGGCGACUAUCUGGCACAUAACUGACGCUGAGGAGCGAAAGCGUGGGUAGCAAACAGGAUUAGAUACCCGCGUA